Molecule: ribosomal RNA, 443 nt
Filed under: uncultured bacterium
Lineage: Bacteria
Description: partial 16S ribosomal RNA
Rfam family: Bacterial small subunit ribosomal RNA
Source: RNAcentral
CCUACGGGGGGCAGCAGUGGGGGAUAUUGGACAAUGGGGGAAACCCUGAUCCAGCGACGCCGCGUGAGUGAAGAAGUAUUUCGGUAUGUAAAGCUCUGUCAGCAGGGAAGAAAGAAAUGACGGUACCUGACCAAGAAGCCCCGGCUAACUACGUGCCAGCAGCCGCGGUAAUACGUAGGGGGCAAGCGUUAUCCGGAAUUACUGGGUGUAAAGGGAGCGUAGACGGUGAUGCAAGUCUGGAGUGAAAGGCGGGGGCCCAACCCCCGGACUGCUCUGGAAACUGUGUAACUUGAGUGCAGGAGAGGUAAGCGGAAUUCCUAGUGUAGCGGUGAAAUGCGUAGAUAUUAGGAGGAACACCAGUGGCGAAGGCGGCUUACUGGACUGUAACUGACGCUCAUGCACGAAAGUGUGGGUAUCGAACAGGAUUAGAUACCCUAGUAGUC